GUGCUCACUUCAGCAGCACAUAUACUAAAAUUGGAGUGAUACAGAGAGCAGCAUGGCCAUUGUGCAAGGACAACUCACAAAUUCUGGAAGUGUUCCAUAUCUUU
Choloepus hoffmanni (Hoffmann's two-fingered sloth) is the source of this 104-nucleotide small nuclear RNA. The record is from Ensembl. NCBI's taxonomy places the organism in Eukaryota, Metazoa, Chordata, Mammalia, Pilosa, Megalonychidae.